GACGAACGCUGGCGGCGUGCUUAACACAUGCAAGUCGAGCGGUAAGGCCCUUUCGGGGUACGACGAGCGGCGAACGGGUGAGUAACACGUGGGUGACCUGCCCUCAGCUCUGGGAGUAAGCCUGGGAAACCGGGUCUAAUACUGGAUAUGACUCCAUGACGCAUGUUGUGGGGUGGAAAGCCUUGUGCGGCUGAGGAUGGGCCCGCGGCCUAUCAGCUUGUUGGUGGGGUGAGGCCUACCAAGGCGACGACGGGUAGCCGGCCUGAGAGGGCGACCGGCCACACUGGGACUGAGACACGGCCCAGACUCCUACGGGAGGCAGCAGUGGGGAAUCUUGCGCAAUGGGCGAAAGCCUGACGCAGCGACGCCGCGUGAGGGAUGACGGCC
RNAcentral lists this ribosomal RNA (387 nucleotides) under uncultured bacterium. Its description in RNAcentral is "bacterial SSU rRNA". It matches the Rfam family "Bacterial small subunit ribosomal RNA", at positions 28 to 416 of the family's 1533-position model. The record is from RNAcentral.